RNAcentral lists this ribosomal RNA (440 nucleotides) under uncultured bacterium. Its description in RNAcentral is "bacterial SSU rRNA". It matches the Rfam family "Bacterial small subunit ribosomal RNA", at positions 338 to 795 of the family's 1533-position model. The record is from RNAcentral.
CCUACGGGUUGCAGCAGUGGGGAAUAUUGGACAAUGGGCGAAAGCCUGAUCCAGCAAUGCCGCGUGUGUGAAGAAGGUCUUCGGAUUGUAAAGCUCUUUCACCGGUGAAGAUAACGACGGUAACCGGAGAAGAAGCCCCGGCUAACUUCGUGCCAGCAGCCGCGGUAAUACGAAGGGGGCUAGCGUUGUUCGGAAUUACUGGGCGUAAAGCGCGCGUAGGCGGAUAGAUAAGUCAGAGGUGAAAUCCCGGGGCUCAACCCCGGAAUUGCCUUUGAUACUGUUUAUCUUGAGUGCAGAAGAGGUAAGUGGAAUUCCGAGUGUAGAGGUGAAAUUCGUAGAUAUUCGGAGGAACACCAGUGGCGAAGGCGGCUUACUGGUCUGCAACUGACGCUGAGGCGCGAAAGCGUGGGGAGCAAACAGGAUUAGAUACCCGUGUAGUC